This 1741-nucleotide long non-coding RNA is filed under the name Cricetulus griseus (Chinese hamster). RNAcentral's name for it is "lncRNA (ENSCGRG00015030930.1)". Lineage: Eukaryota; Metazoa; Chordata; Mammalia; Rodentia; Cricetidae. The record is from RNAcentral.
AGUUAACACACUUCAGUGCUAUGAGCCUUCAGGACUGCACCAGAGUCAACAUAGCCUUUGUAUGAUGGCAGAUUGGUUCUUUAUUUCAUUUGUGGCUGGAGACAAAGACAAUGAGUCCAUUGGUGAAACUGGAUUGCUGAAGUCACCUAAUAGUUAUUAAUAUGCUGAGUUAAUCUUGUAUGCUGACACUUUGGAAGCAACCUAGAUGCCUCUCAGAUGAAAAAUAGAUGGAGAAAAUGUGGUACAUUUACACAAUUGAGUACUACUCAGCAGAAAGAAACAAUGGAAUCUUGAAAUUCACAGGCAAAUGGAUGGAAUUAGAAGAAAUCAUUCUGAGUGAGAGACUUUAGCAAAUUUCCAUUACAAGAACUGGAGAGAAGUACAGAUAAUCUUUACAUCUGAUUGAAAACGGGCUUCCUGGUUCUUGAUUUCCACGUUUAAUGGUUCAGUCAAUGAAAACAGUCUCUUCGUUCUGCUUGGUGUAGAGACUUUCCGACUUCAGCAGUUCAUUUUAGCAUACUGUCCCCCUAUGCAAACUGUCGAGCAGAGGACUCCAAAGAGACGGUGGAGAACAUAAAAGGAACUGAGUUGUUACUUACCCACGUGAGGAUGAACAUGUUUUGAAAACUCUCCAGCUGAACUAAGUUGGUCACACAUGAGAACGCUUUAAGGAGAUGGUUGUUGUAGCAGCUAGAUAGGGUGAUAUAAACUCCUCAAAAAUAUGACUUCAAAAUGUAUGCUUAGCAAAACAAAGCAAAUGUGUCUAUACCUACAGAGGCUGGUAUGAAGAAGCCAGGAGCCUACUAAUGAACCCCCAAGAGAUAUUUUCAUGUAAUUAAUAAAUCAUAAAACCAGUGUCAACACAAGGUCUUAACUAUUCCCAGUGGCCUUUUGGAAUUCUCUUACUACAUCCUUCAAUUUUAAUAAUUAUCUAGACAUGAUUGCUUUGACAGUUUCUUUCAUAUCGUGCCCUAAAUAAUCUGAAAUCUAUGUCAUUUCAUAGUCUAUGAUUCCAGAAGGUAAAUGGAAAGAUGAGUGAGGCAGGACAAACAUAUGCCAGCUGUUUCUUGAGUUUAAUAAUGCAGAACCCCUCCUCAGCUGUGGGAAACUGACUGAAGGGCUGGCACUGGGCAUUGUAUUAACUGACCAAAGUCAAGGAUGACUUUGGACUAUAAACUCAGCUGACCAUAUUAUCUGGUUUCAGUCACAUAAAUAAAGCAUUGUUUUAAUGUGGUUCUUCUGCAUGCUCUACUAUGAUAUUUCUAAACCUGUUUAGAUGUUACCAGACGUUGAAAAAGUCCUCAAGAGCAACGAUACUCCAGGGCUAAUAGUGAAGCCAGAUUCCAACACUAAAACAGCCAUGCUGUGCAAUUAUUUGCGGCAGGGGCAAAAUGCCAGACAAACUGUCUUCAGUAAUAGAGGAAUUUUUCAGUAAUAGUGGAAGACAUGGUGACAGGAGCUUGUGAUGGUUGGUCAUACUGUAUCAAUAGUCAGGAAGCAGAGAGAGAUGAAUGCUAGUUCUCUACUCAUUUCAUCUGCUUUACUCAGUCUAGGACCCAAGCCACCCACAGAUAAGGUUGUUCACCACAUCUCAGUGAAUGGAUUCUAAAUAUUCUCUUCCAAUCAAUCCCAACGUCUUGUCUCCUAGGUAAUUCCAGGUCCAAUCAAAUUGACAGUUAAUAAUGACUAUACAUGCUCAUCCCAGUCUCACUGUCCCUAGGCUCCUUUCUUUCACCUACAU